RNAcentral lists this ribosomal RNA (466 nucleotides) under uncultured bacterium. Its description in RNAcentral is "partial 16S ribosomal RNA". It matches the Rfam family "Bacterial small subunit ribosomal RNA", at positions 28 to 507 of the family's 1533-position model. The record is from RNAcentral.
GAUGAACGCUGGCGGUGUGCCUAACACAUGCAAGUCGAACGAUGAAGCCCAGCUUGCUGGGUGGAUUAGUUGCGAACGGGUGAGUAACACGGGAGUAACCUGCCCUCGACUCUGGCGUAGGGCUGGAAAACUGGGUCCAUUACUGAAUAUCACUUCUCACCUCCGGGUGGGGGGUGGAGAGCUUUAUUGGUUUUGGAUGUACUUGCGGCGUAUUGGCUUGUUGGAGUGGUAAUGGUUCACGAAGACGACGACGGCUAGCCGGCCUGGGAGGGUGACCGGCCACACUGGGACUGAGACACGGCCCAGAGUCCUACGGGAGGCAGCAGUGGGGAAUAUUGCACAGUGGGCGCAAGCCUGAUGCAGCGACGCCGCGUGAGGGAUGACGGCCUUCGGGUUGUAAACCUCUUUCAGUAGGGAAGAAGCGGGAGUGACGGUACCUGAAGAAGAAGCGCCGGCUAACUACGUG